Molecule: long non-coding RNA, 685 nt
Filed under: Mus caroli (Ryukyu mouse)
Lineage: Eukaryota; Metazoa; Chordata; Mammalia; Rodentia; Muridae
Description: lncRNA (MGP_CAROLIEiJ_G0003980.1)
Source: RNAcentral
GUAACUUCCACAGCAAAGAUAAAUAGCACUUUCCGUGGAAUAGAAUAUGUUCCAGGUCACUUAAAGAGGCUACACUUCCCAAAGGGGUUCUGAAACCUGAUACCUUAUUUCAAAGAGAAUCCUCUUCCUCUUUAUGUGACAAACCUCAUAUAGAAACCUUGUGAUGAACCCCAGUGCACACAUCCACCCUCUCAUGCCUGCCGCAAGGCUUCUGCUUCAGACUUGGUCAGGCUCCUGGGCCUGAGUCAUGUCACUUCAUCCUGCUAUGGUGCUGGUCCUCUGAUACAUAUCUGAUUUCAUCAUCAAUGCUGAGGCAGGACCUGUGAUCUCCCAAGGGAAUUUUGUUAGUGUUGUGUGUUUAAACACUGGUGGAUAUGACACAGUCUGCCUAAAGAAGGAAGGCCACACAGAAAAGGUCACUUCUAUGAGAGAGGAUAGAUUCUACCUUGGCCCAGUGCUCCUCAAGUCCCUGUUCGACUGUCCCUUGGGAAGAUGCAAACUGGCACCUGAACAGGGACCCCAUGGGGUCACAGAGAACACCACUCAUCAUUGGAGGGUAGGCCUACCUCCUCAUGUAGGAAGCACCUGAUAGCAGCUUCACUUCCGCAGGAUGCCAAGGUCCAACCGGAAGCGAGACAGUCUGGGAGACAGAACAUAGCAUGGCAAAGAUAUUAGGAUAAUAAAG